UUGAAUAAACCUGAUGUGACUGUUAGCUGGCUUUUCGAAGCAUGUGCUCGUCCGUCAUCUUUAAUCUCUCCACCUGUGCACAUUUUGUAGUCUUGAAUACCUCUCGAGGCAACUCGGAUUUUAGGAUUGCCAAGUUGGCUUUCCUUUCAUUUCCAAGACUAUGUUUUUAUAUACACCAAAGUAUGUUUAAAGAAUGUCAUUAAUAGGAACUUGUUUCCUAUAAAAUUAUA
Molecule: unclassified non-coding RNA, 230 nt
Filed under: uncultured Laccaria
Lineage: Eukaryota; Fungi; Basidiomycota; Agaricomycetes; Agaricales; Tricholomataceae
Description: sequence contains ITS1
Source: RNAcentral